UUGCAGCUCACUGUGCCCUUUGUGGUCACCUUGCCACUGUGGGCAGCCAGAGGUGGACACGGAGGCUCUGACCGAUGGAAGGGCCUCAUGGGAGCUCCCAGUCUGGGCAGGGAGGAACAGGUCCCAUGCUGACCUCUGACCUCAGCUCCUGUCCAAGUCCACGUCACCACUAGUGACCCAGCGAGCUUCCUGCUCCACCCUGGACCCAGAGCCCCAGGCCUCAGAUGGUAGAGAAAGCAGCCUGGAGGGGGAGAGGCAGGCUCCUAGGGCAGAGAAGCUCAGGCGGUCCCAGCACCCGGAAGGAAGCUCCAAACCGAUGCCAUCCCAGGCUCCUAGGGCAGAGAAGGUGAGCCACCCCACACCCCCGUGGAAAUGAGAAGACACAUAAACAAGCCUCAAAAACAGACUUCCAGAUCACCUACAGCAACCCCAAAGGGAAAUGAGAUGGAACAAUCUGAUACUCAACAAAUAAAGUGUCUUCCCUUUUAUAAAAA
Heterocephalus glaber (naked mole-rat) is the source of this 494-nucleotide non-coding RNA. The record is from RefSeq and is a predicted model, not a curated record. Lineage: Eukaryota; Metazoa; Chordata; Mammalia; Rodentia; Bathyergidae.